AGAGUUUGAUCAUGGCUCAGAUUGAACGCUGGCGGCAGGCCUAACACAUGCAAGUCGAACGGUAACAGGAAGCAGCUUGCUGCUUCGCUGACGAGUGGCGGACGGGUGAGUAAUGUCUGGGAAGCUGCCUGAUGGAGGGGGAUAACUACUGGAAACGGUAGCUAAUACCGCAUAAUGUCGCAAGACCAAAGAGGGGGACCUUCGGGCCUCUUGCCAUCGGAUGUGCCCAGAUGGGAUUAGCUUGUUGGUGGGGUAACGGCUCACCAAGGCGACGAUCCCUAGCUGGUCUGAGAGGAUGACCAGCCACACUGGAACUGAGACACGGUCCAGACUCCUACGGGAGGCAGCAGUGGGGAAUAUUGCACAAUGGGCGCAAGCCUGAUGCAGCCAUGCCGCGUGUAUGAAGAAGGCCUUCGGGUUGUAAAGUACUUUCAGCGGGGAGGAAGGGAGUAAAGUUAAUACCUUUGCUCAUUGACGUUACCCGCAGAAGAAGCACCGGCUAACUCCGUGCCAGCAGCCGCGGUAAUACGGAGGGUGCAAGCGUUAAUCGGAAUUACUGGGCGUAAAGCGCACGCAGGCGGUUUGUUAAGUCAGAUGUGAAAUCCCCGGGCUCAACCUGGGAACUGCAUCUGAUACUGGCAAGCUAGAGUCUCGUAGAGGGGGGUAGAAUUCCAGGUGUAGCGGUGAAAUGCGUAGAGAUCUGGAGGAAUACCGGUGGCGAAGGCGGCCCCCUGGACGAAGACUGACGCUCAGGUGCGAAAGCGUGGGGAGCAAACAGGAUUAGAUACCCUGGUAGUCCACGCCGUAAACGAUGUCGACUUGGAGGUUGUGCCCUUGAGGCGUGGCUUCCGGAGCUAACGCGUUAAGUCGACCGCCUGGGGAGUACGGCCGCAAGGUUAAAACUCAAAUGAAUUGACGGGGGCCCGCACAAGCGGUGGAGCAUGCGGUUUAAUUCGAUGCAACGCGAAGAACCUUACCUGGUCUUGACAUCCACGGAAGUUUUCAGAGAUGAGAAUGUGCCUUCGGGAACCGUGAGACAGGUGCUGCAUGGCUGUCGUCAGCUCGUGUUGUGAAAUGUUGGGUUAAGUCCCGCAACGAGCGCAACCCUUAUCCUUUGUUGCCAGCGGUCCGGCCGGGAACUCAAAGGAGACUGCCAGUGAUAAACUGGAGGAAGGUGGGGAUGACGUCAAGUCAUCAUGGCCCUUACGACCAGGGCUACACACGUGCUACAAUGGCGCAUACAAAGAGAAGCGACCUCGCGAGAGCAAGCGGACCUCAUAAAGUGCGUCGUAGUCCGGAUUGGAGUCUGCAACUCGACUCCAUGAAGUCGGAAUCGCUAGUAAUCGUGGAUCAGAAUGCCACGGUGAAUACGUUCCCGGGCCUUGUACACACCGCCCGUCACACCAUGGGAGUGGGUUGCAAAAGAAGUAGGUAGCUUAACCUUCGGGAGGGCGCUUACCACUUUGUGAUUCAUGACUGGGGUGAAGUCGAAACAAGGUA
RNAcentral lists this ribosomal RNA (1500 nucleotides) under metagenome. RNAcentral's name for it is "bacterial SSU rRNA". It matches the Rfam family "Bacterial small subunit ribosomal RNA". The record is from RNAcentral.